This 323-nucleotide unclassified non-coding RNA is filed under the name soil metagenome. RNAcentral describes it as "partial contains 5.8S ribosomal RNA, internal transcribed spacer 2, and large subunit ribosomal RNA". The stretch from base 1 to 120 matches the Rfam family "5.8S ribosomal RNA", at positions 35 to 154 of the family's 154-position model. The record is from RNAcentral.
GAUGAAGAACGUAGCGAAAUGCGAUAAGUAAUGCGAAUUGCAGAAUUCAGUGAGUCAUCGAAUCUUUGAACGCACAUUGCGCCCUGUGGUAUUCCGCAGGGCAUGCCUGUUCGAGCGUCAUUUCAACCCUCAAGCUCUGCUUGGUGUUGGGCCCUGCCCGCUGCGGCCGGCCCUAAAGACAGUGGCGGUGCCGCCUGGCCCUGAGCGUAGUACAUCUCUCGCUCCAGUGCCCGGUGGUAGCCUGCCAGAACCCCAACUCUCGUGGUUGACCUCGGAUCAGGUAGGGAUACCCACUGAACUUAAGCAUAUCAAUAAGCGGAGGA